UACAGAGGUCUCAAGCGUUGUUCGGAUUCAUUGGGCGUAAAGGGUGUGUAGGUGGCGCGCUAAGUCGGGUGUGAAAUCUCGGAGCUUAACUCCGAAACUGCAUUCGAUACUGCCGUGCUUGAGGACUGGAGAGGAGACUGGAAUUUACGGUGUAGCGGUGAAAUGCGUAGAUAUCGUAAGGAAGACCGAGUGGCGAAGGCGGGUCGUCUGGACAGUCCUGACGCUGAGGCACGA
RNAcentral lists this ribosomal RNA (234 nucleotides) under uncultured bacterium. RNAcentral's name for it is "partial 16S ribosomal RNA". It matches the Rfam family "Bacterial small subunit ribosomal RNA", at positions 524 to 756 of the family's 1533-position model. The record is from RNAcentral.